Molecule: ribosomal RNA, 425 nt
Filed under: uncultured bacterium
Lineage: Bacteria
Description: partial 16S ribosomal RNA
Rfam family: Bacterial small subunit ribosomal RNA
Source: RNAcentral
GUGGGGAAUAUUGGACAAUGGGCGCAAGCCUGAUCCAGCCAUGCCGCGUGAGUGAUGAAGGCCCUAGGGUUGUAAAGCUCUUUCACCGGUGAAGAUAAUGACGGUAACCGGAGAAGAAGCCCCGGCUAACUUCGUGCCAGCAGCCGCGGUAAUACGAAGGGGGCUAGCGUUGUUCGGAAUUACUGGGCGUAAAGCGCACGUAGGCGGACAUUUAAGUCAGGGGUGAAAUCCCAGAGCUCAACUCUGGAACUGCCUUUGAUACUGGGUGUCUUGAGUAUGGAAGAGGUAAGUGGAAUUCCGAGUGUAGAGGUGAAAUUCGUAGAUAUUCGGAGGAACACCAGUGGCGAAGGCGGCUUACUGGUCCAUUACUGACGCUGAGGUGCGAAAGCGUGGGGAGCAAACAGGAUUAGAUACCCUUGUAGUCC